Molecule: ribosomal RNA, 457 nt
Filed under: uncultured bacterium
Lineage: Bacteria
Description: bacterial SSU rRNA
Rfam family: Bacterial small subunit ribosomal RNA
Source: RNAcentral
UACGGGAGGCAGCAGUGGGGAAUAUUGCACAAUGGGCGAAAGCCUGAUGCAGCCAUGCCGCGUGUAUGAAGAAGGCCUUAGGGUUGUAAAGUACUUUCAUCGGGGAGGAAAAAACAAAACUAAUAAUUUUAUUUCUUGACGUUACCCGAAAAAGAAGCACCGGCUAACUCCGUGCCAGCAGCCGCGGUAAUACGGAGGGUGCUAGCGUUAAUCAGAAUUACUGGGCGUAAAGAGCACGUAGGUGGUUUUUUUAAGUCAGAUGUGAAAUCCCUGGGCUUAACCUAGGAACUGCAUUUUGAAACUGAAAUACUAGAGUAUCGUAGAGGGAGGUAGAAUUCUAGGUGUAGCGGUGAAAUGCGUAGAUAUCUGGAGGAAUACCUGUGGCGAAAGCGGCCUCCUAAACGAAUACUGACACUGAGGGUGCGAAAGCGUGGGGAGCAAACAGGGAUUAGAUACC